Molecule: ribosomal RNA, 198 nt
Filed under: Triticum aestivum (bread wheat)
Lineage: Eukaryota; Viridiplantae; Streptophyta; Magnoliopsida; Poales; Poaceae
Description: partial small subunit ribosomal RNA
Source: RNAcentral
AUGGCCAUUCUGGUGACAAUGGUUGUACUCCAGCUCUUAUCAUCGAGUUUCCUUGGCAAGUUAACUUCAACAAUCAUGUUAAGCUGGCAGCUAUGGUUGGUACUGAUGUUAGUUGCUCGUUUAGGUGCUGAUGGUCCAAGAAUUGUAAAGAUAAGGCGGGGGAACCUUAUUUGUGUGGUGGAUGCAAUUAUGUUAUGA